Molecule: long non-coding RNA, 1134 nt
Organism: Alosa alosa (allis shad)
Lineage: Eukaryota; Metazoa; Chordata; Actinopteri; Clupeiformes; Clupeidae
Exons: 4
Source: RefSeq, a predicted model, not a curated record
GCUUGGGGAAAAAGUUAAUCACUGCUGAUACUAGAGAUGUGCCCCUCCAUGCCGUUCCAGUGUCACUCACAACUUUGCAGUGCAAACCACUGAGAGAAUAUACCACUUGACUCUCUGAUUAAAACCAGAUCCAUUACUGUAGACAAUGGGACAAGAUUGGAAGCUGUAUUGGCAUACAACAGUGCAACAGUGCAUUCUGAGGACAUCCCAUUAUUUUUGAAGAUCUACCACAUUUUUGGAGUUUUGGGUAGCUGGUAUUUAUGUGGGAAAAUGCUAAGACCCUCCAGCUUUAACAGCCACCUACACUGCUACCUUGUAGAGGAAGAUUCUCUCUGGGAAGUAGUGUUGCCUGGUGAAGAACUUGCUUUCCAUGGGCUGGAUUCAUACACCAACUCAGACGGAAGACUCACUGUUUCUGUACGACAUUGCAUAUAAAGAGCACUUUAUUCCCUGAGUUUUCCCUGAGGAUGCAUUGAGAUAUUGGAACCCUCGAUUAACACACAAGUAAAACUAACUCACCCGUUUAAAAGGAGAAGAUACCCUCACAGUAACCGACAGCUCUCAGGAAACAACCCCUUCAGCACAGACUUAUUUUAUUCAACUACCGGUGUUUCCAACUCUCCUGAAAUAAAAGCUAAUGGAGGAAAGUCCAGGCUUUCAUAUUGCUGCCUACAGAUCAAAGUGGAGGUCCCAGAUCAUACAAGUCCUAUUUGAUUCAAUUUGUAUGUAUACAUGAUGACAAAGUUGGCCUUCAAAUACUGCAACACAGGCUUCAUCUCAAGCUGACCUAUUCCCUCCAAAAUGUUGUGCAUAACAUCGACAGAGAAAUUUUCAGAGGUAUUAAAGUACUGUAAAGUAUUCAGUAAACAAUGCUAUACUAUAACAAUAUUCUGUACUGUUACGGGCUCGCCUGUUACUGCCUCCUGCUGGGCUGUUCUUGUUUGUGUCGCAGGUUGGGAGUUGUGCAGGUGUCCCGGUCAAGUGCCCCAAUCGACUUGAUGGACCUGCACCUAUAUAGGGCUACCUCGCAGGGGCAGGGGCUCUCUCUCCAGUCGUUGCUGCUGUUGGAUUAUUAAUUACACUUGACUGACUCGCAGCACAUUCGAUGCUUCUCACCACUGCAUUUAUAUUGAC